Molecule: RNA transcript, 3742 nt
Organism: Bubalus bubalis (water buffalo)
Lineage: Eukaryota; Metazoa; Chordata; Mammalia; Artiodactyla; Bovidae
Gene: VARS2
Gene name: valyl-tRNA synthetase 2, mitochondrial
Exons: 28
Source: RefSeq, a predicted model, not a curated record
GCGCAGCGGGCCGGCGAUCGGGGAGUGGGAAGUGCUGGAGCGUCAGGACCCGCGCGGUGCGUCGGUCAGGAAGGCAGAUCAACUCGCGGGCUGGGGGCAGUGCAGAUGGCCUUUGAGGAGGCGAACAAGUAGUGAUCCUGGUGGGACCUCUUGCUGGCUCUGAUGUCCACCAUUUGCCAGAAUCCCUGAGUCCUUUCCCUCUCCUCUGUGUCUACGGUCACCCCCACAUCUCAGCUGAAUAGGUUGAGGGCCUGAGACUUUCUGUCCCGGAAGAGCGCUGAUAAUUAGAAGACCCUGUCUACUCUAGUCCUCACAGAGGGAGGGUUGUGAGGGAUGGGCUAGAUACUUUAUCAGCCAGUGCUGGAGGGAGGCAGGAAGGGGUGGGGGGAAGAGGGUGUGACUUUGGGAGUUGUGACCCUCCCUCACGACCAUACCCUCCCAAUGUGCUGUAGCUGGAACAGACUUUGGCCCCUUUCCAAGCACUGCCGAUGCCUCAUUUGCCUCUGACCUCUUUUCGACCACCGCUUUGGGGCUUGAGGCUCUCACGGGGCCUCCCCAGGUCCCGUCCCCUUUCCACCCAGUCAGAGCCAGAUGGAUCAGCCAUCUCGCGGAGGAACCGUGAAGCCAAACAGAAGCGCCUGCGAGAGAAGCAGGCAUCGCUGGAGGCUGGGAUAGCCCCCAAGAGCAAGUCACCUGCAGAAUCCAGUAAGGCCUGGACCCCUAAGGAGAGAGUGUUGUAUGAAAUCUCCACGGAACAUGGAGAAAAGAAAGAUGUCUCCCGACCCCUGCCUCCUGCAUACAGCCCCCAGUACGUUGAGGCUGCCUGGUACCCUUGGUGGGUGCGAGAGGGCUUCUUCAAACCAGAAUAUCAGGCCAGGCUGCCCCAGGCAACAGGGGAGACCUUUUCCAUGUGCAUCCCACCCCCUAAUGUCACAGGCUCCCUGCACAUUGGGCAUGCGCUGACCGUGGCCAUACAGGAUGCUCUCGUGCGCUGGCACCGGAUGCGUGGGGAUCGGGUGCUGUGGGUCCCUGGCUCAGAUCAUGCAGGGAUUGCGACCCAAGCUGUGGUGGAGAAACAGCUGUGGAAGGAGCGAGGCGUGAGGAGACAUGAGCUGAGCCGGGAAGACUUCCUUAGGGAGGUGUGGAAGUGGAAGGAGGAGAAAGGUGGCGAGAUCUGUGAGCAGCUCCGAGCGCUGGGGGCCUCCCUGGACUGGGACCGAGAGUGCUUUACCAUGGAUACCGGCUCCUCAAUGGCCGUGACAGAAGCUUUCGUGCGGCUCUACAAGGCUGGGUUGUUGUACCGGAGCCGGCAGCUGGUCAACUGGUCGUGUGCCUUACGCUCCGCCAUCUCGGAUAUUGAGGUGGAGAGCCGGCCCCUCCCUGGCCGCACGGAGCUUCAGUUGCCUGGCUGCCCCACCCCCGUGUCUUUCGGCCUCCUCUUUUCCGUGGCCUUCCCCGUGGAUGGAGAGCCUGGUGAGGACGCAGAGGUUGUGGUGGGAACCACGAGGCCAGAGACGCUGCCUGGAGACGUGGCUGUGGCGGUCCAUCCUGAUGACUCCCGCUACACGCAUCUACAUGGGCGACAACUCUGUCAUCCCUUGACGGGGCAGCUUCUCCCCCUUAUCACAGACUGCACUGUUCAGCCACGCCUGGGCACAGGGGCAGUGAAGGUGACUCCAGCGCACAGCCCUGCCGAUGCUGAGCUGGGGGCCCGACACGGCCUGAGCCCCCGGAGUGUCAUUGCGGAGGAUGGGACCAUGACCGCCCUUUGUGAGGACUGGCUGCAGGGUCUUCACCGAUUUGUGGCCCGGGAAAAGAUUCUGUCAGCGCUGAGGGAGCGGGGCCUGUUCCGGGGCCUCCAAAACCACCCCAUGGUGCUGCCCAUUUGCAGCCGUUCCGGGGAUGUGGUAGAGUACCUACUGAAGAGCCAGUGGUUUGUCCGCUGCCGGGAAAUGGGGGAGCGAGCCGCCAAGGCCGUGGAGUCGGGGGCCCUGGACCUUAGUCCCUCCUUCCACCAGAAGAACUGGCAGCACUGGUUUUCCCACAUUGGGGACUGGUGUGUCUCCCGGCAGCUGUGGUGGGGCCAUCGGAUUCCAGCCUACCUGGUUGUAGAAGAACAUGCAAAGGGUGAUACGGAGCACUCCUGGGUGGUCGGGCGGACAGAGGCUGAGGCCAGAGAGGUAGCUGCAGAAUUAACAGGGAGACCAGGGGCGGAGCUGACCCUGGAGAGGGACCCUGAUGUCCUGGACACAUGGUUCUCCUCGGCUCUUUUCCCCUUUUCUGCCCUAGGCUGGCCCCGAGAGACCCUGGACCUGGCUCGUUUCUACCCCCUGUCACUUUUGGAAACGGGCAGUGACCUCCUGCUCUUCUGGGUGGGCCGCAUGGUCAUGUUGGGGACCCAGCUCACAGGGCAGCUCCCCUUCAGCAAGGUCCUGCUUCACUCCAUGGUCCGGGACAGGCAGGGCCGGAAGAUGAGCAAGUCCCUGGGGAACGUGCUGGACCCACGGGACAUCAUCAGUGGGGUGGAGCUGCAGGUACUGCAGGACAAGCUGAGGGAUGGAAACUUGGACCCCGCAGAGCUGGCGAUUGCAGCCUCGGCGCAGAGAAAGGACUUCCCUCAUGGGAUCCCCGAGUGUGGGACAGAUGCUCUGAGGUUCACCCUGUGCUCCCAUGGGGCCCUGGGAGGCGACUUGCACCUGUCCGUCUCUGAGGUCCUGAGCUUCCGACACUUCUGCAAUAAGAUCUGGAAUGCCCUGCGCUUUAUCCUGAAUGCUCUUGGGGAGGAAUUCAUACCCCAACCUGCGGAGGAGCUGUCCCCCGCCUCCCGCAUGGACGCCUGGAUCCUCAGCUGCCUGGCCCGCACGGCCCAAGACUGCGAGCGGGGCUUCCUCGCCCGCGAGCUCUCGCUCGUCACCCAUGCCCUGCACCACUUCUGGCUGCACAACCUCUGUGAUGUCUACUUGGAGGCUGUGAAGCCGCUGCUGUCACACGCUCCCCGCCCUCUGGAGCCGCCUCAGGUCCUGUUCUUCUGUGCAGACGUCGGUCUCCGCCUCCUCGCCCCGUUGAUGCCUUUCCUGGCUGAAGAGCUCUGGCAGAGGCUGCCCCCCAGGCCUGGUGGUCCCUCUGCCCCCAGCAUCUGUGUUGCCCCCUACCCGAGUGCCCGCAGCUUGGAGCACUGGCACCAGCCUGAGCUGGAGAGGCGCUUCUCCCGGGUUCAGGAGUCCGUGCAGGCGCUCAGGGCUCUGCGCGCCACCUACCAGCUCACCAAGGCCCGGCCCCGAGGGCCUGGUGGACCCCCAGACCCACCUACCUCGGCUGGCUGCCCGAAGACACAAGUUGCAGAAGCAGCUUGAUGGCCUCCUAGCCCAGCCCCCAUCCGAGGGACAGGCGGAGACUCAGAGGCAGCAGAGGCUUUCUUCCCUCCAGUUGGAGUUGUCAAAGCUGGACAAGGCAGCCUCUCACCUCCGGCAGCUGGUGGAUGCGUCUCCAAGCCCUGGGGGCUCACCAUCCCCCUGACUUUCCUUCCUCCCAGACCCGCCUUUGAGGCCUCUGGGGACAGACUGGGCAGUGUCGGGAUGUUCUGUGGUCCAGCCCCUUCGUUUUGUCAGUGAGGAAACAGACUGGCUUGGUCAGAUGACUGGGUGACCUCAAGACGCUCACGUGUGUGCCCUGGCCUCCCUCCUCCGCAGUCCCACCUGGAAGUUUGGGAAGGAGGCCACUCAGAUAAACUUAAAAUCCCAAA